GAUGAACGCUGGCGGCGUGCUUAACACAUGCAAGUCGAACGGAAAGGCCCAAGCUUGCUUGGGUACUCGAGUGGCGAACGGGUGAGUAACACGUGGGUGAUCUGCCCUGCACUUCGGGAUAAGCCUGGGAAACUGGGUCUAAUACCGGAUAGGACGAUGGUUUGGAUGCCAUUGUGGAAAGUUUUUUCGGUGUGGGAUGAGCUCGCGGCCUAUCAGCUUGUUGGUGGGGUAAUGGCCUACCAAGGCGUCGACGGGUAGCCGGCCUGAGAGGGUGUACGGCCACAUUGGGACUGAGAUACGGCCCAGACUCCUACGGGAGGCAGCAGUGGGGAAUAUUGCACAAUGGGCGCAAGCCUGAUGCAGCGACGCCGCGUGGGGGAUGACGGCCUUCGGGUUGUAACCUCCUUUCGCUAGGGACGAAGCGUUUUUGUGACGGUACCUGGAGAAGAAGCACCGGCUAACUACGUG
RNAcentral lists this ribosomal RNA (468 nucleotides) under uncultured bacterium. RNAcentral's name for it is "partial 16S ribosomal RNA". It matches the Rfam family "Bacterial small subunit ribosomal RNA", at positions 28 to 507 of the family's 1533-position model. The record is from RNAcentral.